This 508-nucleotide ribosomal RNA is filed under the name uncultured bacterium. RNAcentral's name for it is "partial 16S ribosomal RNA". It matches the Rfam family "Bacterial small subunit ribosomal RNA", at positions 29 to 523 of the family's 1533-position model. The record is from RNAcentral.
AUUGAACGCUGGCGGCAGGCCUAACACAUGCAAGUCGAGCGGCAGCGGGAAAGUAGCUUGCUACUUUUGCCGGCGAGCGGCGGACGGGUGAGUAAUGCCUGGGGAUCUGCCCAGUCGAGGGGGAUAACUACUGGAAACGGUAGCUAAUACCGCAUACGCCCUACGGGGGAAAGCAGGGGACCUUCGGGCCUUGCGCGAUUGGAUGAACCCAGGUGGGAUUAGCUAGUUGGUGAGGUAAUGGCUCACCAAGGCGACGAUCCCUAGCUGGUCUGAGAGGAUGAUCAGCCACACUGGAACUGAGACACGGUCCAGACUCCUACGGGAGGCAGCAGUGGGGAAUAUUGCACAAUGGGGGAAACCCUGAUGCAGCCAUGCCGCGUGUGUGAAGAAGGCCUUCGGGUUGUAAAGCACUUUCAGCGAGGAGGAAAGGUUGGUAGCUAGUAACUGCCAGCUGUGACGUUACUCGCAGAAGAAGCACCGGCUAACUCCGUGCCAGCCGCCGCAGUAA